GAUGAACGCUGGCGGCGUGCCUAGCACAUGCAAGUCGAGCGAUUCUCUUCGGAGAAGAGCGGCGGACGGGUGAGUAACGCGUGGGUAACCUGCCCUGUACACACGGAUAACAUACCGAAAGGUAUGCUAAUACGAGAUAAUAUACUUUUAUCGCAUGGUAGAAGUAUCAAAGCUUUUGCGGUACAGGAUGGACCCGCGUCUGAUUAGCUAGUUGGUAAGGUAACGGCUUACCAAGGCGACGAUCAGUAGCCGACCGGAGAGGGUGAUCGGCCACAUUGGAACUGAGGCACGGUCCAAACUCCUACGGGAGGCAGCAGUGGGGAAUAUUGCACAAUGGGCGAAAGCCUGAUGCAGCAACGCCGCGUGAGCGAUGAAGGCCUUCGGGUCGUAAAGCUCUGUCCUCAAGGAAGAUAAUGACGGUACUUGAGGAGGAAGCCCCGGCUAACUACGUGCCAGCCGCCGCGGUAA
Molecule: ribosomal RNA, 468 nt
Filed under: uncultured bacterium
Lineage: Bacteria
Description: partial 16S ribosomal RNA
Rfam family: Bacterial small subunit ribosomal RNA
Source: RNAcentral